RNAcentral lists this ribosomal RNA (253 nucleotides) under uncultured bacterium. Its description in RNAcentral is "partial 16S ribosomal RNA". It matches the Rfam family "Bacterial small subunit ribosomal RNA", at positions 524 to 776 of the family's 1533-position model. The record is from RNAcentral.
UACGAAGGGUGCUAGCGUUGUUCGGAAUAACUGGGCGUAAAGGGUACGUAGGCGGCUUAGUAAGUCGAUUGUGAAAGCCCCGAGCUCAACUUGGGAACUGCAAUCGAUACUGCUUCGCUUGAGUUUGGUAGGGGAUGGUGGAAUUCCUAGUGUAGGGGUGAAAUCCGUAGAUAUUAGGAGGAAUACCGGUGGCGAAGGCGACCAUCUAUACCAAUACUGACGCUAAGGUACGAAAGCGUGGGGAGCAAACAGG